Molecule: long non-coding RNA, 637 nt
Organism: Culex pipiens pallens (northern house mosquito)
Lineage: Eukaryota; Metazoa; Arthropoda; Insecta; Diptera; Culicidae
Exons: 2
Source: RefSeq, a predicted model, not a curated record
AAAAUUUAAGCGCAAACAACGGUUCGCCGUCGAUUCCGCUGGCCCGUCGGCAAAUACAGCGCAAGUUGGUAUCCGGAAGCACGCUGCAAAAGUGAGUGACAUGACGAGCUGGCCACACCAUAACGACAGAAUUUUAGUGCGUACCCGCGGAUGCCAGUAGCAGCGUCAACCGAAAAAAGCUUCAAGUUGGGGGAGAAAUAGCAGCAGCUGCAAGGUUCAAAAAAGAAGGUCUCAAAUCGACAUUUGUUUCGUGAGAACGCAGAAAAUCAACAUCGCUGCCCAACAUCAUGAAAAAAAUUGCAGCAGCAUCAUCCAGCAUCCUGUAAACGCUCGCAAAACCAGGGGAGCUUUUGUCACAGAAAGGGGAGGAAUCCAACACGGAAAGCAUCUCCGGCAAGGCAGGAAAGACAAUCUGGUCCAACGAUGUUCAGUCCGUUGCAAAUGGCGUUUCAGGGACACAAACCGGCUGAAGCAAGAACUAACAUAUACACGAUGGCCGCCAAAAUAUCCGUGCGGGAUGUGGAUCGACAAGAGUCACAUCCGGGUCGAAGAUCGUGAACCGGUGAUGGAAGUGAUUGUAUGGCCGAUCAAUUUUAUUGUGUCACACACGAAAUAUAAGUUACAAAUAUAUUUAUUA